CUCAACAUGCAGAAGCAAGUCGCCUUUUUUCCUGGGAAACUUCAGGUCGUGUUCCUCAAGGGGCCUCUUGGGUUUCUCCUCCAGGAGCCAUCUGAUGAAGCCAAACAGUUUCCAAUAAAUCCAGGCUCUUCUCACUUAUGACGGCGGAAGAGGGGAUGGAGUGACUGCCUCGUCUGAAGACGACCAGCUGGUUGGAUUUGGUGCCCGAGCCAAGAGCAGGUGGAAGGAGAUCUGGGACAGCAGAGGUGAUGGCUAUGCCCAUUUUGUCACAGGCAGGAGCUGCGUUCCAGGUACACGAAUGUUCAGGUUGCAGCAGAACCUGCUGAAGAGGCAGCAGCCCACCACAUCUUCCACACCUGCUGAGCAUCCCAUGAAGGCCCCAGCUGAGCCCCUGGCCAUGGAGGAGGACGUGGAGAUGGAAAGGGAGAUGCUGAGCAUCCAUAACUCUGAUCUGCAAGUCCAGAGCUGUAAAUACACCGUUACCACAUUUAUUUCAUGUCAGACAAACAAAGUCCAUGUCGUAUCUGAUUUCUGUUGUUUUUCUUUUCACCUGUGUGCAGAUGCUAUGCCAGUAGCAGCAGCCGCCCUGCCCACGCCUCUGACGCAGGACUCCAUUGAAAAAAUUGUGCAGGGUAUUCUAGAGAUGCAGCAGCAGCAGCACCGACCAGAGCAGAAGAUGAGACAGACGAAACCCUGUCUCGCCUGUGGACAGCCCAAGUCUCGGUAUGGGACGGAUGGAUCUUCCAUCCACUUUUUCUAUCAGCAGGGUCCUGUUCGCGACUUCUACUGCUCAAGGAAGGUGCAUCAGACUUAUGCUGCUGAGGGACUCUCUGACCCCAGAAUGCCCUUUGAACAAUUUGCCGCGUCAGAGUUUUUCCAGAGGGAGCUGGAGGCCACCAAAAAGCGUGUGGAGGAAAAAGCUCGGAGACAGAGACCCGACUCUCAGCCACCUGAUCGCCUCUGCAGGUUCUGCCAUUUGACUCUUAAACAGGGACCAAACAGCCCACAUAUACAUACAGGGUUCCCUGGAGUGGCAGGUAAAUACAUUUACUGCCCAUCCAAAGUCUAUUCUCUAUAUCGGGACAAGGGGAUGGCCCGAGAGAUGACUUGGAAAGAGUUUGUGGCCACUCCUUUCUUUGAGGCAGAGAGAUGAAGAUGGAUGGAGGAACGGACAAAAUGAACUACAUGCCAGGAAUGCAUGUUGCACUACUGGACAUAGUUAUGAAAUUAAUUUUGCACUACUGUACACACUUUGAUAUUUAAUGUUGCACUGAGAUUUAAUGUUGCACUAUUGUACAUCGUUUUACAUUUAAUAUUUAAUUCCUGUACAUAGUUUGAGAUUUAAUGUUUUAUGAGUGUGUUUGUGUUUAAAUAAAAUUGAAUUUCCCACUUUGGUCCAUAC
This 1402-nucleotide long non-coding RNA is filed under the name Takifugu rubripes (torafugu). RNAcentral describes it as "lncRNA (ENSTRUG00000033338.1)". Lineage: Eukaryota; Metazoa; Chordata; Actinopteri; Tetraodontiformes; Tetraodontidae. The record is from RNAcentral.